CCUUAUCAACUACCACCCACAUGACAGCGGUUGAUGACUUUUCGUGUUGGUUAAUAUGCUUUAUAUGUUUCGUAGAAGGCCAGAUGGCCAGGUCACUGAUUCGUCCGCGGGUUCAGUCUUACGGUAAUGUGAGCAAUAAGUCAGACACCGGUUUACACUAAAACAAAAAACAUCAUCCGAACGCGCCAAAAUAAGCAUUAGGAUACACGGAUCAUCACGGAAAUUUACAGGUUAUUGCCCUUUUUAUAUAGAAGUUGAACGCUGUCAGCAGAUAAGAAGGAAGUAAAAUAGAAUUUCUGCGUGCGAUUGAAAGCUGUGCGUCUUUAUCAAUCAAAACGACACCGUUCAAGUUUCCCAAAUUGGAUAUCAUUCAUCCACUUACUGCGCAGGACUCGUGUGAAUGAUUAGACGGUAGGGUUACAAUGAUUAGCUGUUUUGUGCGUACACAACAAUUAUACCCAGAAAAACGUGUUUGCAAAUCGUUUUUGUCCAAAAUAUUUUAAGAUCAUAAUAAAACUGAACGUAUUUAAUAUAUAAUAAAUGUAC
Molecule: long non-coding RNA, 546 nt
Organism: Varroa destructor (honeybee mite)
Lineage: Eukaryota; Metazoa; Arthropoda; Arachnida; Mesostigmata; Varroidae
Source: RefSeq, a predicted model, not a curated record